Molecule: ribosomal RNA, 830 nt
Filed under: uncultured bacterium
Lineage: Bacteria
Description: bacterial SSU rRNA
Rfam family: Bacterial small subunit ribosomal RNA
Source: RNAcentral
CGCGGGUGCGUAACACGUAUGCAAUCUACCUUGUACUGGGGCAUAACUUCGAGAAAUCGUUGCUAAUUCCCCAUAACACUACAGAGUGGCAUCACUCAAUAGUUAAAACUCCGGUGGUACAAGAUGAGCAUGCGCCCAAUUAGCUAGUUGGUGAGGUAAUGGCUCACCAAGGCUACAAUUGGUAGGGGUUCUGAGAGGAUGAUCCCCCACACUGGUACUGAGACACGGACCAGACUCCUACGGGAGGCAGCAGUGAGGAAUAUUGCGCAAUGGACGAAAGUCUGACGCAGCCAUGCCGCGUGAAGGAUGAAGGUCCUAUGGAUUGUAAACUUCUUUUGUACGGGAAUAAACGCUCCUACGUGUAGGAGCCUGAAGGUACCGUAAGAAUAAGCACCGGCUAACUCCGUGCCAGCAGCCGCGGUAAUACGGAGGGUGCAAGCGUUAUCCGGAUUUAUUGGGUUUAAAGGGUUCGUAGGCGGACUAUUAAGUCAGUGGUGAAAGCCCUCUGCUCAACAGAGGAAUUGCCAUUGAUACUGAUAGUCUUGAGUGUAAGUGAAGUUGGCGGAAUGUGUGGUGUAGCGGUGAAAUGCUUAGAUAUCACACAGAACACCGAUUGCGAAGGCAGCUGGCUAACUUACAACUGACGCUGAGGAACGAAAGUGUGGGGAUCAAACAGGAUUAGAUACCCUGGUAGUCCACACCGUAAACGAUGAUUACUAGAUUUUGGCCGCAAGGUCAGAGUCCAAGCGAAAGUGUUUAGUAAUCCACCUGGGGAGUACGUCCGCAAGGAUGAAACUCAAAGGAAUUGACGGGGGCCCGCACAAGCGGUG